This 354-nucleotide ribosomal RNA is filed under the name uncultured Barnesiella sp. RNAcentral's name for it is "bacterial SSU rRNA". It matches the Rfam family "Bacterial small subunit ribosomal RNA", at positions 354 to 703 of the family's 1533-position model. Lineage: Bacteria; Pseudomonadati; Bacteroidota; Bacteroidia; Bacteroidales; Barnesiellaceae. The record is from RNAcentral.
GGGAGGAAUAUUGGUCAAUGGACGGGAGUCUGAACCAGCCAAGUCGCGUGAGGGAUGAAGGUCCUACGGAUUGUAAACCUCUUUUUGCCGGGGAGUAACGUCGUCCACGCGUGGGCGAGUGAGAGUACCCGGAGAAAAAGCAUCGGCUAACUCCGUGCCAGCAGCCGCGGUAAUACGGAGGAUGCGAGCGUUAUCCGGAUUUAUUGGGUUUAAAGGGUGCGCAGGCGGCGCGUCAAAGUCAGCGGUAAAAAUGCGGCGCUCAACGCCGUAGAGCCGUUGAAAACUGGCGCGCUCGAGUAUGUGCGAGGAAGGCGGAAUGCGUGGUGUAGCGGUGAAAUGCAUAGAUAUCACGCA